AUACGGAGGACGCGAGCGUUAUCCGGAUUCAUUGGGUUUAAAGGGUGCGCAGGCGGCCGUGCAAGUCAGCGGUGAAAGCCCGGGGCUCAACCCCGGAAGUGCCGUUGAUACUGCAUGGCUGGAAUGCGGUCGAGGCGGGCGGAACGUGGCGGGUAGCGGGGAAAUGCGUAGAUAUGCCACAGAACGCCGAUAGCGGAGGCAGCUCGCCAGGCCUGCAUUGACGCUCGGGCACGAAAGCGUGGGGAUCGAACAGGAUUAGAUACCCUGGUAGUCCACGCCGUAAACGAUGGGCGCUCGGCGUCGGCGGCAGACAGUCGGCGGCCAAGCGAAAGCGAUAAGCGCCCCACCUGGGGAGUACGGUCGCAAGGCUGAAACUCAAAUGAAUUGACGGGG
This 393-nucleotide ribosomal RNA is filed under the name uncultured bacterium. RNAcentral describes it as "partial 16S ribosomal RNA". It matches the Rfam family "Bacterial small subunit ribosomal RNA", at positions 523 to 918 of the family's 1533-position model. The record is from RNAcentral.